UGCGAGUCAUGGGGCGCGCUCUGCGCGCACCGGCGGACGGCUCAGUAACACGUCGGUAACCUACCCUCGGGAGGGGGAUAACCCCGGGAAACUGGGGCUAAUCCCCCAUAGGCCUGGGGUACUGGAAGGUCCCCAGGCCGAAAGGGGCUCUGCCCGCCCGAGGAUGGGCCGGCGGCCGAUUAGGUAGUUGGUGGGGUAACGGCCCACCAAGCCGAAGAUCGGUACGGGCCAUGAGAGUGGGAGCCCGGAGAUGGACACUGAGACACGGGUCCAGGCCCUACGGGGCGCAGCAGGCGCGAAACCUCCGCAAUGCGGGCAACCGCGACGGGGGGACCCCCAGUGCCGUGGCACAGCCACGGCUUUUCCGGAGUGUAAAAAGCUCCGGGAAUAAGGGCUGGGCAAGGCCGGUGGCAGCCGCCGCGGUAAUACCGGCGGCCCAAGUGGUGGCCGCUAUUAUUGGGCCUAAAGCGUCCGUAGCCGGGCCCGUAAGUCCCUGGCGAAAUCCCACGGCUCAACCGUGGGGCUUGCUGGGGAUACUGCGGGCCUUGGGACCGGGAGAGGCCGGGGGUACCCCUGGGGUAGGGGUGAAAUCCUAUAAUCCCAGGGGGACCGCCAGUGGCGAAGGCGCCCGGCUGGAACGGGUCCGACGGUGAGGGACGAAGGCCAGGGGAGCGAACCGGAUUAGAUACCCGGGUAGUCCUGGCUGUAAAGGAUGCGGGCUAGGUGUCGGGCGAGCUUCGAGCUCGCCCGGUGCCGGAGGGAAGCCGUUAAGCCCGCCGCCUGGGGAGUACGGCCGCAAGGCUGAAACUUAAAGGAAUUGGCGGGGGAGCACUACAAGGGGUGGAGCGUGCGGUUUAAUUGGAUUCAACGCCGGGAACCUCACCGGGGGCGACGGCAGGAUGAAGGCCAGGCUGAAGGUCUUGCCGGACGCGCCGAGAGGAGGUGCAUGGCCGCCGUCAGCUCGUACCGUGAGGCGUCCACUUAAGUGUGGUAACGAGCGAGACCCGCGCCCCCAGUUGCCAGUCCUCCCCGCUGGGGAGGAGGCACUCUGGGGGGACCGCCGGCGAUAAGCCGGAGGAAGGAGCGGGCGACGGUAGGUCAGUAUGCCCCGAAACCCCCGGGCUACACGCGCGCUACAAUGGGCGGGACAAUGGGAACCGACCCCGAAAGGGGAAGGGAAUCCCCUAAACCCGCCCUCAGUUCGGAUCGCGGGCUGCAACUCGCCCGCGUGAAGCUGGAAUCCCUAGUACCCGCGUGUCAUCAUCGCGCGGCGAAUACGUCCCUGCUCCUUGCACACACCGCCCGUCACUCCACCCGAGCGGGGUCCGGGUGAGGCCUGGUCUCCCUUCGGGGAG
This 1355-nucleotide ribosomal RNA is filed under the name Thermococcus sp. EXT9. RNAcentral's name for it is "bacterial SSU rRNA". It matches the Rfam family "Archaeal small subunit ribosomal RNA". The record is from RNAcentral. Lineage: Archaea; Methanobacteriati; Methanobacteriota; Thermococci; Thermococcales; Thermococcaceae.